This 519-nucleotide ribosomal RNA is filed under the name Triticum aestivum (bread wheat). Its description in RNAcentral is "partial small subunit ribosomal RNA". Lineage: Eukaryota; Viridiplantae; Streptophyta; Magnoliopsida; Poales; Poaceae. The record is from RNAcentral.
AUGGACUCUGUUUUAGGUUUACCUAGAACAAAUAAGGGGAGAGAUAGCAUAUUUGUUGUCGUGGAUAGAUUCUCGAAAAUGGCACACUUUAUACCAUGUCAUAAAAGCGAUGAUGCUGUUAAUGUUGCUGAUUUGUUCUUUUGUGAAAUUAUUCGCUUGCAUGGUGUGCCAAAUACUAUUGUUUCAGAUCAUGAUACUAAAUUUCUUAGCCACUUUUGGAGAUGUUUAUGGGCUAGGUUGGGGACUAAACUGCUUUUCAGUACUAGUUGUCACCCUCAAACUGAUGGACAAAGUGAAGUAGUCAAUAGAACAUUGUCUACUAUGGUUAGGGCUGUUUUGAAGAAUAAUAAAAGAAUGUGGGAAGAACGCUUGCCCCAUAUUGCAUGUGCUUAUAAUCGUUCAUUGCAUUCUACUACUAAGAUGUGCCCUUUUAAAAUUGUGUAUGGUUUCCUACCUCAUGCACCUAUUGAUUUGUUGCCUCUUCCAUCUUUGGAGAAGGUUAAUUUUGAUGCUAAAUAA